This 253-nucleotide ribosomal RNA is filed under the name uncultured bacterium. RNAcentral describes it as "partial 16S ribosomal RNA". It matches the Rfam family "Bacterial small subunit ribosomal RNA", at positions 524 to 776 of the family's 1533-position model. The record is from RNAcentral.
UACGAAGGGUGCAAGCGUUACUCGGAAUUACUGGGCGUAAAGGGUGCGUAGGUGGUUGUUUAAGUCUGUUGUGAAAGCCCCGGGCUCAACCUGGGAAUGGCAAUGGAUACUGGACAGCUAGAGUGCGGUAGAGGGUAGUGGAAUUCCCGGUGUAGCAGUGAAAUGCGUAGAUAUCUGGAGGAACACCGGUGGCGAAGGCGGCAUCCUGGACCAAUACUGACGCUGAGGAGCGAAAGCCAGGGGAGCAAACGGG